This 496-nucleotide ribosomal RNA is filed under the name uncultured bacterium. Its description in RNAcentral is "partial 16S ribosomal RNA". It matches the Rfam family "Bacterial small subunit ribosomal RNA", at positions 29 to 507 of the family's 1533-position model. The record is from RNAcentral.
AUGAACGCUGGCGGCGUGCCUAAUACAUGCAAGUCGAGCGAACGGACGAGAAUCUUGCUUCUCUGAUGUUAGCGGCGGACGGGUGAGUAACACGUGGAUAACCUACCUAUAAGACUGGGAUAACUUCGGGAAACCGUAGCUAAUACCGGAUAAUAUUUUGAACCGCAUGGUUCAAAAGUGAAAGACGGUCUUGCUGUCACUUAUAGAUGGAUCCGCGCUGCAUUAGCUAGUUGGUAAGGUAACGGCUUACCAAGGCAACGAUGCAUAGCCGACCUGAGAGGGUGAUCGGCCACACUGGAACUGAGACACGGUCCAGACUCCUACGGGAGGCAGCAGUAGGGAAUCUUCCGCAAAGGGCGAAAGCCUGACGGAGCAACGCCGCGUGAGUGAUGAAGGUCUUCGGAUCGUAAAACUCUGUUAUUAGGGAAGAACAUAUGUGUAAGUAACUGUGCACAUCUUGACGGUACCUAAUCAGAAAGCCACGGCUAACUACGUG